Molecule: long non-coding RNA, 510 nt
Organism: Bos taurus (domestic cattle)
Lineage: Eukaryota; Metazoa; Chordata; Mammalia; Artiodactyla; Bovidae
Source: Ensembl
CUGGCUCUGGGGCAGCAGGGCUGGAUGCAGUCCAGGGCUGGAUGAGGUCAGGGGAGUGCAGAGGAGGGCAGUGGAGAGCAGAUACACCAGGGGCCAUAGCCUGGCCUUGUCAGGACUAAAUACGAGACACGUGGCCAGACCUUGAAGGACACCAUCAAUGACCUGGAGCAAGAAUCCUGACCACAGUGAGGCCUGGGGAUUGAAGGAGCCUGCCAGACCCUGUUCAACUGUGGGAAGUCUAUGGAAGAAGACUGCCCUCCCAAGAAGCGUGAGUUCUAAGAUGUAGCAUCUGGCCAUUUCCUGCCCUCAGAAAGGGGGCUGCUCCUGGCUGUACCUCCCUGUCCCAGGCCUCAGUUUCCUCUUUUUAUAUUGGGAAUCAGUUGCUGGGGCCUGUCCACUUGGUUGGGGACCUUUGGGAACAAAUGCUUCAGGUUCUUGCAGACUGUCAGGCCCCUGUUGGGCAUUCAGGUGAUGCUUGGGGGACACUGAAGGGAACUCUACCAGAGAAGC